GAUGAAUGCUGGCGGCGUGCCUAACACAUGCAAGUCGAGCGGCAGCGCGGAGAGUUUACUCUCUGGCGGCGAGCGGCGGACGGCUGAGUAACGCGUGGGAACGUGCCCCAAAGUGAGGAAUAACUGCCCGAAAGGGUGGCUAAUGCCGCAUAUGAUCUUCGGAUUAAAGUCUUCGGACGCUUUGGGAGCGGCCCGCGUCGGAUUAGGUUGUUGGUGAGGUAAUGGCUCACCAAGCCGACGAUCCGUAGCUGGUCCGAGAGGAUGAUCAGCCAGACUGGAACUGAGACACGGUCCAGACUCCUACGGGAGGCAGCAGUGAGGAAUCUUCCACAAUGGGCGAAAGCCUGAUGGAGCAACGCCGCGUGCAGGAUGAAGGCCCUCGGGUCGUAAACUGCUUUUAUAAGUGAAGAAUAUGACGGUAACUUAUGAAUAAGCACCGGCUAACUACGUGCCAGCAGCCGCGGUCAUACGUAUGGUGCAAGCAUUAUCCGGAGUGACUGGGCGUAAAUAGUUUGCGUAGGUGGUUUGUUAAGUAGGUAGUGAAAUCUGGCGGCUCAACCGUACAGGCUUAUUUACUAAACUGGCAAACUCGAGAAUGGUAGAGGUAACUGGAAUUUCUUGUGUAGGAGUGAAAUCCGUAGAUAUAAGAAGGAACACCAAUGGCGUAGGCAGGUUACUGGACCAUUUCUGACACUAAGGCACGAAAGCGUGGGGAGCGAACGGGAUUAGAUACCCCGGUAGUCCACGCCGUAAACGAUGGAUACUAGCUGUUGGAGGUAUCGACCCCUUCAGUAGCGAAGCUAACGCGUUAAGUAUCCCGCCUGUGGAGUACGGUCGCAGGACUAAAACAUAAAGGAAUUGACGGGGACCCGCACAAGCGGUGGAUUGUGUUCUUUAAUUCGAUGAUAAACGAAGAACCUUACCAGGGCUUGACAUCCCGAGAAUUAUGCUGAAAGGCGUGAGUGCUUUAUUGAACUCGGUGACAGAUCUUGCAUGGCCGUCGUCAGCUCGUGUCGUGAGAUGUUUGGUUAAGUCCAUCAACGAGCGCAACCCUUGUCUUCAGUUGUAUUUUUCUGAAGAGACUGCCCCGGCAACGGGGAGGAAGGAGGGGAUGAUGUCAGGUCAGUAUUAGUCUUACGUCCUGGGCUAGAAACGCAAUACAAUGGCAAGUACAAUGCGCAGCGAAGCCGCGAGGUGAAGCAAAUCGCAUCAAAGCUUGUCCCAGUUCGGAUUAGAGGCUGAAACUCGCCUCUAUGAAGUCGGAAUCGCUAGUAAUCGCAGAUCAGCAAGCUGCGGUGAAUACGUUCCCGGGUCU
This 1315-nucleotide ribosomal RNA is filed under the name uncultured bacterium. RNAcentral describes it as "bacterial SSU rRNA". It matches the Rfam family "Bacterial small subunit ribosomal RNA", at positions 28 to 1381 of the family's 1533-position model. The record is from RNAcentral.